RNAcentral lists this ribosomal RNA (568 nucleotides) under Ilyonectria robusta. RNAcentral's name for it is "eukaryotic LSU rRNA". The stretch from base 190 to 343 matches the Rfam family "5.8S ribosomal RNA". The record is from RNAcentral. Lineage: Eukaryota; Fungi; Ascomycota; Sordariomycetes; Hypocreales; Nectriaceae.
GGAAGUAAAAGUCGUAACAAGGUCUCCGUUGGUGAACCAGCGGAGGGAUCAUUACCGAGUUUACAACUCCCAAACCCCUGUGAACAUACCAUAUUGUUGCCUCGGCGGUGUCUGUUUCGGCAGCCCGCCAGAGGACCCAACCCUAGAUUACAUUAAAGCAUUUUCUGAGUCAAUGAUUAAAUCAAUCAAAACUUUCAACAACGGAUCUCUUGGUUCUGGCAUCGAUGAAGAACGCAGCGAAAUGCGAUAAGUAAUGUGAAUUGCAGAAUUCAGUGAAUCAUCGAAUCUUUGAACGCACAUUGCGCCCGCCAGUAUUCUGGCGGGCAUGCCUGUCCGAGCGUCAUUUCAACCCUCAAGCCCCCGGGCUUGGUGUUGGAGAUCGGCGAGCCCCCCGGGGCGCGCCGUCUCCCAAAUAUAGUGGCGGUCCCGCUGUAGCUUCCUCUGCGUAGUAGCACACCUCGCACUGGGAAACAGCGUGGCCACGCCGUAAAACCCCCCACUUCUGAAAGGUUGACCUCGGAUCAGGUAGGAAUACCCGCUGAACUUAAGCAUAUCAAUAAGCGGAGGA